Manis javanica (Malayan pangolin) is the source of this 665-nucleotide long non-coding RNA. RefSeq lists it as uncharacterized. The record is from RefSeq and is a predicted model, not a curated record. NCBI's taxonomy places the organism in Eukaryota, Metazoa, Chordata, Mammalia, Pholidota, Manidae.
AAGAGGUGAAUCAGGAGCCAAACAUGCUGACAAACGAGAGGGUAUGCGGUGCAGUUUUUAGAUAUGAUAAGGAGGACGGAGAGAGGGUGGAACUCAUGUUCUUUGAAAGAACAUGGCUUAUUUUUCAAGAGAAGUAGUAUGGUUCUGGAAGCAGCUAUGAAGACACCAACCACAGCUACGGAUCUUGAAGUACAUAAGGUUUAGGAAUCUUGCCAUAAGUCCCGUGAGAGACUUUGCGUCACUUCUCAUUGGUUAGAAUUACCUCAAAUUCCCAGAACUUCGUCAAAUGACUAAAUCAACUGAUGGCAAGGACAGUGGGACCAAAUCAACUGAUGGUUAACAACAAACAAAAAGAAGCUCCAAUCUCAUCCUUUGAAACAGAUAACUGAACAUUGUACUUGCUUCUCCUGCUCAGUCAUAAAAUAGUUCAAUCAUUUAUUUACCAGUAAUCUGAUGAACUCCUGUUCUGUGGAAGGUUUUGCAGGCAAAUAAGGAAGGAUAAAAUUAAGAUUCCUGCUCUUACUACUUUACAACUUAGUUUAGAUGAAAAAUUAAAUAACCACAAAAGAUAUGAAUAGCGGUUUUACAUAAUUGUGCCAAGAUGGCACAGGCUAGGUGACAAUUAAUGGCUAAAUGACAGUAAGUACUGUGUCAGGUCAGAGGAG